Molecule: long non-coding RNA, 4740 nt
Organism: Solanum lycopersicum (tomato)
Lineage: Eukaryota; Viridiplantae; Streptophyta; Magnoliopsida; Solanales; Solanaceae
Source: RefSeq, a predicted model, not a curated record
GAUAGUAUUAACAAAAUAAAGUUCCCUAGCAUAGAUAGUUUCUAUUUUGCUGUGAAGAUAGAGGGAAGGCCAAAAACUUCUUGUUUCAUUCCUUCCUUCACCAGCUUGUCAGCAAGGCCUAUUCUGCUCCCUGAAGAUGUACACCAGCCUUGGUGUACCCAAUUUUUUCUGCAUCAAUUGUCUGCACUCAACUGCAAGUUAGUGUAUUGCAAAUGGUCAUUUUCAAUCAUGUGGAUGACAUCAAAUAAUCAAUGUUGAUUACUAAGGGAUUAGGUUAUGAUCCACUCCUAGUUGCAACUCUCUAUUUCAUGUUUGGAGCUUUGCCAUCGUAGGGUUUGUAUUAGGAGUGCAUUCAAUGAAGUCUAGCACCCAAUGAACCGUGUUGUCCCGGGAAACCCCCACCAAGUCCUCCUAAUCACGGGUUGUUCUUUACCGCCCAAUCAAUGUUGAACUUGAAGAAUCUCUAUCGGGGGGCUCCCACCUGACCUGAAUGAUAGUUUGAUGUCGUUUAAGCAUCUCUUUUUGGACAACCAUUAGAUGGUAUACCAUGGUUUGGCUGAUGGUAUUACCACAUUUAAUGUGGUAUUCUUCUUGUUGAAGAGAUUGUUGUUCCUUGUAAACUAGAUACUCCUCGAUCAGAAAGGAAUUAGAGUGCCCCGGUCAAUUCUACUAUUGAAAGGCUUAUUCCAAAUGUAAUUCGGAAGAGGAAUCUAGUUGUUGGUGCUCACAUUCAAGGCCUGGAUAUUGUUGGUGUUAUUUAAAAUAUUCUCCCAAAAUUGAAUUGAAUUAGGGCACUCAAAGAAAAUACAAUUGUUAUCUUCUUUCGGAGAGUUGCAGAAGUGGCUACUAUGGUUAACGUUAAGACCUUUCUGAUGGAGGGAGUGGCUAGUGGGGAGUCCACCAUGGUAGAAAAGUCAAAAAAAGUUUUGGCUUUAUUGUGAGCCUUGGUAGAGCAAAUCUAGUCAAAUUGCUUCCAUUGAUUUUGAUUAUUACCUAGUCUAUGAAAUGAGAUGUGAUUGUAGGCACUACCAGUUGAGAAGAGAUGAUCGCUGGCAAGUUCCAGAUCAGAGUGUCAUGUUGUGAGGUGUUCUAAGGAAUGUGGUAGCAUUUGAUGGUGGCUUUGAGAUAUCAUCAAGUUAAAAGAAAGGAUGUCAAAAGUUCUCGAUCCCAUUUACAAAGAUGCUGCUAAUUUUGAGCUUUUCAUCCUCGACCAUAGACGAUUUGACUAAGGACUUGGAGAUGUGGAAUCUAAGUAUAAUAAGCCAACCUUCUCACUCUUAUGAACAACCAAUGGUGCUUUUUUUGCAUUCGCAGCAUCCUUUUUGUGUGUUUUUCCAAGUUCUAGAGACUACUCUAAUGUUAUUAAUGAGUUUGACAUGCUUGUGGUUUUCGCUAGCCAAAACUCUGCUCUAAAGGUUGUUAGCCCCCAAGCCCCGUUGUUCCUAGUGAUUGUGUCCCAGCCAAAAAGGUGAAUACUGGUUCCCCAUCUGAAAUCCCUUUGGAUUUUGUUGAUGGAGUAAGUGGUUCUAAAGGGGGUACUAAUGUACUGCAUAACAUGAGAGAGGAUGUUGUUGAGGGUUGCUUUGGCUAGGACGGUUCUGCACGUUAAGUUGAGGAACUUGAUUUUUAUCAUGCUGACUUCUUGUUCAUGUUAUCAGUAAUAAUUAGGAAAUCCCCAUUGGUAGACCUUUUGUGAAAGAUUGGGAAACCAAGGUAUUUCCCAAAAAAUCGUUAGGGCCAACGUUAAGGAGGCUAGAGCACAUUGCAAAGUUUUCAAUGGAGCAAUUCUUUAUAAAGAUCACCUAAGAUUUUUCAAGAUUAAUUUUUUGGCCAGAGAAGAUGUUGAAGCUAUUCAAUGUAUCAAUGAUGGUAAUGCAGUUCCUCAUGUCAGCUUAGAAAAAUAAAGUAAAAUCAUCUACGAAAAACAGAUGUGAGAUCUUGGGCCCUGUAGUGGUGGUUUGAUGGGAGUCUAUUUCAUGACAUGGACCAUUUGGUCGAUAUCUCUAGAAAACCUCUCCAUCAGAGUAUUAAGACAUAGGGGAACAUGGGAUCGCCGUGUCGGAUGCCGCUGGAAGGGUUGAAGUAUUCAGUUUUCCCCCAUUGACAAGGAUGGAAAUGGAGCUGGAGGUCACACAGCACAUAAUGAAGGAGGAAAUAUUAGUGGGAAAAAUAAUGAAAUGGAGAGUAUCUCUAAUAAAAGACCGCUUUAACCUAUCAAAGGCUUUUUCCAAACCAAAUUUAAAAUCAUCUUGGGGUUCUUCCCUUUCAUCUUUUUGAAGUGAGGGAUAUACUCCUAGACAAUGAUAGCAUGAUCGAAAGCUCUUCUAGAGGAAAGGAAGUUGGCUUGACUGGGGCCAAUGAUAUUUUGAACUUUGAAGGUGCGGUUUCUUGUGAUUCAUAAUGAUUUUUUUCACUAAUUUAUAACUCAAAUUACAAUGACCAAUGGGCCUGAAAUUUUUAAGCAUGGAUGCAUUUUGGCACUUGGUGAUGAGUCAAAAAAGGGUGUUGUUCAUGUCAGGAGAAAUGAACGGUUAUCUAAUACCUUUUUACAGGAAUAUAAUUAGUAGUUUUCUCCCCCGCUAGAUCUCAAUAUUUCAGAGGCUUAAAAGAUUUUGAGCAAUGAGAAUUUCCAGGUCUCUGAUGAGAGAGUCCAGAAGGUCCUUGGCUUCGUAGUGGAUGCAAUUUACACGAGUCUGGUCCUCUAGGGGGCAAUUUUCAGAUUGGGAAUGGGCAGUGGUAUAGAUCUUGGUGAAGCAGUUGAUGAUGUUGACUUUAAUGUCCUUGUUAUAUAAGUACUUAUUUCCCACAUCAUCUUGAUACAGAAUUUGUCCUUGCGUCUUCAGUUGAGGGUGGAGGUAUGAUAGAAUCUAGUGUUUGCAUCUUCGUCACUUAACUAGUUGAUCCUAGGUUUGAUUUUCCAGAAUUCUUCCUCAGUUCUAGGAGGUUGUCAUAGUCAAGGAGGAGUUCAUUCUCGAGGUCUUGAAGGAGGUAGUGCUAUGGUAGUUAGCAGAAUUUUGGAUGCCUUCAAGCUUGCUAGAAUUUUUUUCACACUAUUGAAGAUGUUGCCAAAAGUUGAUUUGUUCCAACUGGUAGUUUCCUUCCAGAAAAUAUCAAUAUAUUGCCUAGGGUGUUGCUUAUGUCAAAACAUGCUUAACAAUACCUUGAAAGGAUGGGCGCCCACUGCCCACACCACAUGGGUUCUAUUCUAAAAUGCUUGUUGGUAGCAUUAACAACCUGAUUUUGGAGGCUCACAAGCAACAGACAGUGUGGUCUGAUAGCGGCAAUUACACAUUAGUCGUAAAAAAUUCCUUUUAAUUAAAAGUAUUUUUGCUGUUUUACUUAAUUGUUAAAAAACAAAUUGACUUUCUCCUGGGUUGUGAAUUGUGAGAACCACGUAUCAUCCGCUUCCCCUUUUUCUUCCACCACCAUCCGAGCCACCGUGGCCACCGACAGAGGAGCCACCAUAGACACCGCCAACGAAGCCACUGUAGAUAUCGCCAUUGGAGCCACCAUCUAAGAGGUAGAGAAGUGUUGAUUUCUAGUUUUGAUAGAUCUGUGGCAUGAUAAUGGUGAAAGUUUUUCAAGUUUCCGCAUACAAAUCUACUGAUCUAAGGUGAUGCAUCGAGAUUCCCUUUCAGAUAACUUGGUUUUUGAGAGUAAAUCAAAGAAAGGAAGCAAUGCACUUCUUGCUCGAGCGUAGUCUCCUGGUUGGAGCAAUGCUGAUAAGGCACUCACUAGUCACUACUUUCUAUAAUGAACCAUUGAUUGGGUUUCUGUUACCGCGUUUACAUUUUGGUGAAGUCAGUAUUUGCGAGACAUCUGCAGCUCAAAGCAAGUAUCAACAACACAUGUUUCGUUGAACCUCUAAACCUGAUUCACAGUUACAGGAAAUAUCUUCCCUUUUGGAGAUUUUUGGUUUACUAAGAAGGAACAUUUUUUUUGGGUUCUCAAGUGAAUGGUACAAUCCUGCUCGCGAGUGAUGUCGAUCAAUAGGGACUAGGAAGAAUGAAAUAUUAAAGAUGACACCAUUUGGAUAUAAGAGAGGAUGUUUUAUUGAUCAGAGUUGGAGUUACACUUCUAGGAGUUGGCUUAAAGAGUGGAAUUGAGGUACUUCGGUCUAUGUCUUCCUUAUGUUCCGGUUCAAUAUUUGCAGAUCAUUUCUAGCAGACCAACCGGUGAACGUAAGGUCUCUGAUCCAAAUAUACAAGAUUGGGUUUCAAUGGGAGGUUAUGGAAAGCACGGUAAUAGAGAAAACAGUAAGAAAACUCAUGUUAAGUGAAGAACGCAAAGAUGUGAAGAAAAAAGUAGCAGACAUGCAGCAUAGUAUAGUUUCUGGUGUGCAGAUUGAUGGUAUUUCACAUAAGAAUAUGAAAGAUUGUUAGACUUCAUUUCUGCCAUGCCAUCAUGGAUCCCUCCACCAACACAUGUUGCUGGGACAAUCUUGAGUUUAAACCAAUACCAAGCAAGUGUUGGAAGAAUUACAUAUUUUUGUUGCCUGCUACCUUGGCAAGACAACUCCUCAAUCACAAAAGGAAGAAUAAAAUCCUCCCGAUAUUACAUAUGAUUGUGAUCCAAGUUGUUAUACUUUUACUGUCUCAACUUCUCGUUUCUUCAUUCUUAAACACAUUCUUUUUAUUUGUUUUGAUAACUUGAACACAAUAUUAUAGGUAAUUCAUAUUUUUACCACUAGAAGACAAUAAAGUGGAUGGUAUUAAGUUUUUUAUUGUUCUUUUAAAAGAA